Molecule: non-coding RNA, 48 nt
Filed under: Schistosoma mattheei
Lineage: Eukaryota; Metazoa; Platyhelminthes; Trematoda; Strigeidida; Schistosomatidae
Source: RNAcentral
AUCCUACUGACGAGUCCCAAAUAGGACGAAACGCGCACCACACUGGAU